CCUACGGGCGACAGCAGUGAGGAAUAUUGGUCAAUGGCCGGAAGUCUGAACCAGCCAUGCCGCGUGCAGGAUGACGGCUCUAUGAGUUGUAAACUGCUUUUGUACGAGGGUAAACCCCGAUACGUGUAUCGUGUUGAAAGUAUCGUACGAAUAAGGAUCGGCUAACUCCGUGCCAGCAGCCGCGGUAAUACGGAGGAUCCGAGCGUUAUCCGGAUUUAUUGGGUUUAAAGGGUGCGUAGGCGGUUUGAUAAGUUAGAGGUGAAAUGUCGGGGCUCAACCCCGAAACUGCCUCUAAUACUGUUGGACUAGAGAAUAGUUGCGGUAGGCGGAAUGUAUGGUGUAGCGGUGAAAUGCUUAGAGAUCAUACAGAACACCGAUUGCGAAGGCAGCUUACCAAACUAUAUCUGACGUUGAGGCACGAAAGCGUGGGUAGCAAACAGGAUUAGAUACCCCAGUAGUC
RNAcentral lists this ribosomal RNA (460 nucleotides) under uncultured bacterium. RNAcentral describes it as "partial 16S ribosomal RNA". It matches the Rfam family "Bacterial small subunit ribosomal RNA", at positions 338 to 795 of the family's 1533-position model. The record is from RNAcentral.